Molecule: ribosomal RNA, 517 nt
Filed under: Cubamyces menziesii
Lineage: Eukaryota; Fungi; Basidiomycota; Agaricomycetes; Polyporales; Polyporaceae
Description: SSU rRNA
Rfam family: Bacterial small subunit ribosomal RNA
Source: RNAcentral
UACUGAAUCAAAGAGUUUACACAAACUCCUGAUGUCGUAAGGGAAAAUAAUGAUAAUACCUUACUAAUAGUGUCGUCCAAAUCUGGUGCCAGAAGACUCGGUAAGACCAGAGACGCAAACGUUAAUCAUCAUAAACAGGCGUAAAGGGUUUGUAGGCAGCUUUCUUAAAGAAUAUAAUUAACAAAAUAAAGUAUUUUCAAUGAAAGCUAGAAUCAAAUAUAGGUUAUAGUGUAUAACGCUUAGAGGAGGGCUGAUAUCCACAGAUCCUAGGCAGAAUACUAAGGGCGAAGGCCACUUUCCAUAAAUGAUUGACGCUGAGAAACGAAGGUUAGGGUAGGAAAUAGGAUUAGAUACCCCGGUACUCCUUUCUGUAAACGAUGAAUGGUAGUCAUUAGUUUAAACAAAACUAGAGGCGAAGUUAACACGAUAACCAUUCCGCCUUGUGAGUACUACUGCAAAGUAGAAAACAAAAAAAUUAGUCGGUCUCGAAGCAAACGGAGUGAAGCAUGUUAUUUAU